UACGAAGGGGGCUAGCGUUGUUCGGAAUCACUGGGCGUAAAGGGCGCGUAGGCGGCUUUAUAAGUCGGGGGUGAAAGCCUGUGGCUCAACCACGGAAUUGCCUUCGAUACUGUAGAGCUUGAGACCGGAACAGGUAAGUGGAACUGCGAGUGUAGAGGUGAAAUUCGUAGAUAUUCGCAAGAACACCAGUGGCGAAGGCGGCUUACUGGUCCGGUUCUGACGCUGAGGCGCGAAAGCGUGGGGAGCAAACAGG
RNAcentral lists this ribosomal RNA (253 nucleotides) under uncultured bacterium. Its description in RNAcentral is "partial 16S ribosomal RNA". It matches the Rfam family "Bacterial small subunit ribosomal RNA", at positions 524 to 776 of the family's 1533-position model. The record is from RNAcentral.